RNAcentral lists this long non-coding RNA (1195 nucleotides) under Anser brachyrhynchus (Pink-footed goose). RNAcentral's name for it is "lncRNA (ENSABRG00000004082.1)". The record is from RNAcentral. Lineage: Eukaryota; Metazoa; Chordata; Aves; Anseriformes; Anatidae.
GGCCCCCAGGCCUGGGGAUGGAGGGAACAGGAACGGGGCUGGCUGGGAGGGAUGGGGAAAGCCCAGGAUUUGGUCACCCCUGGGGCAGCAGAAGGACAGGUGGAGGGGUGCAGGUGGCACCCAGCACCCCGCCAGGUUAAAACCCUCCAAAUUCACCGUUCCUCCUCUCUCCCUGGAGCGCCCGGGUGGCGUUUCAGCCCUCCCCGUGUCCCAGGAGAGAAGGGAAACCAAAGCACCGCCAGGCCCCGGGGCACGGCCGCAUCCUGCCCCACUCACCUGCGGCACCGCUGGGGACCUCGUCCCGGGCAGGGCGAGAGAAAGCGUCUGAGGGUCUUAGGGAGAAUCGCCUUCAUAUAUACGGGGAGGGGAUGGGUUACGCGUAAAUCUUCUUACCCCCCCUGGCAGGGAGCGGAGAAAUUGCUGGAAAGGUGCAGGGGGAGCGGGGCCGGGUGGUCUGGGGGCUCCCGCGGUCGGAUCCUGCCCAGGGGCGGCUCUGUUGCCCCGCAGCCCCCCCCCAGCCCUUGCUCCCCCCAUGAUGGAGGAAAUUUCCUCCCGUGGAGGAGGAAAUUUCCCCCCAUGGAGGAGGAAAUUUGGGGCACGGAAGGGAAAGAGAUGGAGCGACCGAUCCCCGCCUGGGGGCACAUCCCCUUGUGCUUUUUCGCGCCCGGGAGGACGAGGGCUCGAUGCCCCGUGAUUUAUCUGAGCGUGAUUCGAGAUUCAAAGGAAAACAGGGGGGGGGAAAAAAAGGCAAAAAAAGGGACGGGGGCGAUGGGAGGCGGCGGAGGGGAGCGCGCCCCACGCCGUGCCCUUCGGGGCGGGCUCGCUGCGGGCUCAGCCAUGGGCCCGGCGCCGUCCCAGACGGGUAAAUACAACCGGGGCAAUCCGGGGUGUUUGGAUUCGAGCAGAAAUGCAAACAGGCCCCUGAGAACAGCAGAUACAAAGGGCAGGAGGCGAAAAACCGCCCCGAGGGCUUGCUCGGCACCAAGCGGUUAUGAAAAUGACUCUUGCCUUUUCUUCUUGCCUUUUCUUUCCUCCUUGUUUGCUCUCCUCAUUUGCUUUUCUCUCCCCGCUUCUUUAUUCUCCCUCAUUAGCGAGGGCCUCGCCGCCUCUUUCAAGUCUCUUGCCUGCAAUCCCGCCGUGCCAAGGGCUGCGGGGUUAGGGNNNNNNNNNNNNNNNNNNNNNNNNNNNNNNNNNN